This 460-nucleotide ribosomal RNA is filed under the name uncultured bacterium. RNAcentral's name for it is "partial 16S ribosomal RNA". It matches the Rfam family "Bacterial small subunit ribosomal RNA", at positions 338 to 795 of the family's 1533-position model. The record is from RNAcentral.
CCUACGGGAGGCAGCAGUGAGGAAUAUUGGUCAAUGGCCGGAAGGCUGAACCAGCCAUGCCGCGUGAAGGUCAGUGCCCUAUGGGCGUUAAACUUCUUUUGUGCGGGAGCAAUAAUGGUCACGUGUGGCCAGACGAGAGUACCGUACGAAUAAGCAUCGGCUAACUCCGUGCCAGCAGCCGCGGUAAUACGGGGGAUGCAAGCGUUAUCCGGAUUUUUUGGGUUUAAAGGGUACGUAAGCUGUGAGGUAAGUCAGCGGUGAAAUGCCCUCGGUGAACGGGGUGAAGUGCAAUUGAUACUGGCUGGCUGGAAUGCGGAUGCGGUAGGAGGAAUGUGUGGUGUAGCGGUGAAAUGCAUAGAUAUCACACAGAACACCGAUUGCGAAGGCAGCUCACGAAUCCGCGAUUGACGCUGAUGCACGAAAGCGUGGGUAUCAAACAGGAUUAGAUACCCUAGUAGUC